CAAGGUAAACUUUUCCCUACAAUUUGCAUUCACAAUUCAAGGUUGCAAAUAUUAGGAACAUUGUGGCUGGAUUCAAGGACAACAAAAUACUGCCCUUUUUGAGUUCAUAGAUUCCGCCCUGAAACAGAGUCAACAAAACAACAGCGCGAAUUCCCAUGAUGCAGUUCGACCAAGCGACGCCAGCCAGACGCCAGACGCCAGGAUCCACCCCUAAACAAUCCUAACCUCUUUGUCUUUGUCUUUGUGUGUCUUGUCAGUUUGUCUUUUUGCGACGUUUGUUUCUCGCGUUAUUACUAUAUCAGAGUUUUUAGACAUAAAGUAUUCAUAUUGAAGUUAGUUUUUGUCUAUUUUCAAUUUCUUUGUUCAUAGUUAAUUCCAUAGUGUUCGAUUUUAGAAGACUAACUGCAACAAAAGUGCUUGUGAGCCAACGAAACAUAAAGUAGAACCUCGAUAGUUCGACACUCCCUGUAGUUCGACACAGGCCGUGAUGACAAGACAUGGCAUCAGUGGCCGAUGACGGGUUCACCAAGGUUAAAAACUAGAGCAUUCUUAGUGUUUUCGUGCAUGGAAAAACUCAAUAGGAAAAGAGGAGUUAUUGGUGCACAGAAUAGGAACAUCAGGCUGAGGUUAUGCGACAGUAAAUAAUGUAUAAGUAAAAUGUCACUUAAUUUAACUCAUGUUCUAAUUUUCAAGUUUGUUUUAUACUUUAUAUUUUCAUAAAAUAAAUUUACUAUAACCAAUGUCACUUGCUACAUUUUAUUUAUACCCCCACAAAUAGUGAUAUUUUGGCUAUGUUUGAAGAACUGUUUUGAACUUUUAAACUUUUUGUUGAUCACUGAGAUGUCUUUUCUAAAGCAGGGUCUGGUGUAAUUUGAUGAGGCCUUAUUAAAAAUUAAAUGCUCUCACCCUUCACUCACAAGCUUGGCAGAAUAGGCUUAUUAUUUUUAACCUAACUCAGUUAUCCUAUACAACAUUUAAAUAAAGUGUUAUAGCAUCAUUUAUAGGUUUCUAGCUGCCCCUCCCCUUGGGCUUCACA
This is a long non-coding RNA of Macrosteles quadrilineatus (aster leafhopper), 1036 nucleotides long. RefSeq lists it as uncharacterized. Lineage: Eukaryota; Metazoa; Arthropoda; Insecta; Hemiptera; Cicadellidae. The record is from RefSeq and is a predicted model, not a curated record. The transcript has 3 exons.